GCGAGCGGCGGAUGGGUGAGUAACACGUGGGGAACCUGCCCCUAAGUCUGGGAUACCAUUUGGAAACACGGCUGCUAAUACCGGAUAAUAAAGCAGAUCGCAUGAUCAGCUUUUGAAAGGCGGCGUAAGCUGUCGCUAAGGGAUGGCCCCGCGGUGCAUUAGCUAGUUGGUAAGGUAACGGCUUACCAAGGCGACGAUGCAUAGCCGAGUUGAGAGACUGAUCGGCCACAUUGGGACUGAGACACGGCCCAAACUCCUACGGGAGGCAGCAGUAGGGAAUCUUCCACAAUGGACGCAAGUCUGAUGGAGCAACGCCGCGUGAGUGAAGAAGGUUUUCGGAUCGUAAAGCUCUGUUGUUGGUGAAGAAGGAUAGAGGUAGUAACUGGCCUUUAUUUGACGGUAAUCAACCAGAAAGUCACGGCUAACUACGUGCCAGCAGCCGCGGUAAUACGUAGGUGGCAAGCGUUGUCCGGAUUUAUUGGGCGUAAAGCGAGCGCAGGCGGAAAAAUAAGUCUAAUGUGAAAGCCCUCGGCUUAACCGAGGAACUGCAUCGGAAACUGUUUUUCUUGAGUGCAGAAGAGGAGAGUGGAACUCCAUGUGUAGCGGUGGAAUGCGUAGAUAUAUGGAAGAACACCAGUGGCGAAAGGCGGCCUCUCUGGUCUGCAACUGACGC
This 673-nucleotide ribosomal RNA is filed under the name uncultured bacterium. Its description in RNAcentral is "bacterial SSU rRNA". It matches the Rfam family "Bacterial small subunit ribosomal RNA", at positions 91 to 746 of the family's 1533-position model. The record is from RNAcentral.